This 186-nucleotide non-coding RNA is filed under the name Aquitalea sp. S1-19. RNAcentral's name for it is "6S RNA". It matches the Rfam family "6S / SsrS RNA". Rfam says of the family: E. coli 6S RNA was the first non coding RNA to be sequenced, but its function was unknown until recently. The record is from RNAcentral. RNAcentral also lists the same sequence under 2 other names. Lineage: Bacteria; Pseudomonadati; Pseudomonadota; Betaproteobacteria; Neisseriales; Chromobacteriaceae.
AUCCCCCUGCGGUGUGCGAGAAGGCUCACAAAUUUCCUUGAACCAAUGUGUUCGCUUUGGUUGCAGGUUUUAACAUGUGUGGGUGUGUCGCUCCGGCUUGCCGGAAGCGCCCGAAACACAAGACCCGUGACCCCCUUUGUUCAGGGUUCAAGCGGAUUUUGCCGGAUCGCCACUCGCGGGGGGUUC